UCUCCGUUGGUGAACCAGCGGAGGGAUCAUUACAGGACUCGCAAGACUCCUACAACCCUGUGAACUUAACUAUAAGCACGUUGCUUCGGCGGGUGUCUCGGAGGGGGUUCUCCCUCCCCGAGACGCUAAACCCGCCGGCAGCCUACUAUACUCUGUCUCUUUGCGUUGGCAUCUCGAGUACAAUCAAACAAGUUAAAACUUUCAACAACGGAUCUCUUGGUUCCG
RNAcentral lists this unclassified non-coding RNA (225 nucleotides) under plant metagenome. RNAcentral describes it as "partial contains small subunit ribosomal RNA, internal transcribed spacer 1, and 5.8S ribosomal RNA". The record is from RNAcentral.